GUAUAUAUACAUUUGUGUAUUUCUUUAUGUGUGUAUGUCAUCACGCGAGUGCUUGUGUAUGUAAGUUUUCUUGCAAAUAUUAACAGUUUUCGUGUGCAUGCGUUGCCGAUUGUUUCCUUUAGGAUAGCAGAAAAUUCUAUACGUUGAAUCACAGAAAACACACACGUGUGUGUGUAAGCAUAUUAUUGUAGAACACAAUAAUUUCCUAUCAAUCAAAUCAUUUGCUAAAAAAAUCGCCGCAUAAGUCCGCUCUGAAAUGCAGUCCAACAACGAUUCUUUUACACAGUAUGCUGUAAAACAUCACGUGACACAAGCAAUUAGCAAUAAGUUGUUUUUUUUUUUUUUUUAGGCCUGUGACAAUAGUCUACUUUAUAAAAAUACAACAGAACUAAACACCUUGCAAAAAUUGCAUCAAACAAACAUACAAUUGGGAGGAAAAAACCUGUUUAUCGCUAGUGCAGAUCUUAAACGGAAAUCGCGACGGACUUCGUCAGUCAGCUUCAGUAAACGAAACAAUAGUAAAUGCAUUAUUCCACAUCGCAUGCAUAACAACUGUGACUGGCCGACGUUCUGUACGAAUCGGCAUAAAAAGCGAAUGAAAUGAAA
Octopus sinensis (East Asian common octopus) is the source of this 606-nucleotide long non-coding RNA. RefSeq lists it as uncharacterized. The transcript has 2 exons. The record is from RefSeq and is a predicted model, not a curated record. NCBI's taxonomy places the organism in Eukaryota, Metazoa, Mollusca, Cephalopoda, Octopoda, Octopodidae.